GAUGAACGCUGGCGGCGUGCCUAAUACAUGCAAGUCGAGCGAACAGAUGAGGAGCUUGCUCCUCUGACGUUAGCGGCGGACGGGUGAGUAACACGUGGAUAACCUACCUAUAAGACUGGGAUAACUUCGGGAAACCGGAGCUAAUACCGGAUAAUAUAUUGAACCGCAUGGUUCAAUAGUGAAAGACGGUUUUGCUGUCACUUAUAGAUGGAUCCGCGCCGCAUUAGCUAGUUGGUAAGGUAACGGCUUACCAAGGCGACGAUGCGUAGCCGACCUGAGAGGGUGAUCGGCCACACUGGAACUGAGCCACGGUCCAGACUCCUACGGGAGGCAGCAGUAGGGAAUCUUCCGCAAUGGGCGAAAGCUUGACGGAGCAACGCCGCGUGAGUGAUGAAGGUCUUCGGAUCGUAAAACUCUGUUAUUAGGGAAGAACAAAUGUGUAAGUAACUAUGCACGUCUUGACGGUACCUAAUCAGAAAGCCACGGCUAACUACGUG
Molecule: ribosomal RNA, 497 nt
Filed under: uncultured bacterium
Lineage: Bacteria
Description: partial 16S ribosomal RNA
Rfam family: Bacterial small subunit ribosomal RNA
Source: RNAcentral